UCAGCUUCCUGGAAAAUGGCUUUAGAAUGUUGCAACGGAAAGGAAAGUCUAGAAACUUCAAAAUAAUGAAUACAAAUACUAGCAACACCUGUAUUUCGUUGGAUUUAAGCUUCCUGUAGUUAUCGAUGAAGCCUGAACUGCUUGCAGAUAUUCCCCAAUCAGCACAUGUUGAUCUUGCUGAUAAAGGCUGAGUAUUUGGUACCAUUAUGCUGAAAAACAAGCACAUUGGGAUACUUCAUCUGGAAUCGUAUGUUCUUUUGAAUCAGCAAAACAGACUCCUGUGGAACUUUAUAUCAUCUUGUAUUGGAGCCUUGUUAUGAAAUGGCCUCUAGUGUGAGUUCAAUGUAAGCUGAAUAAAGGC
Protopterus annectens (West African lungfish) is the source of this 361-nucleotide long non-coding RNA. RefSeq lists it as uncharacterized. The record is from RefSeq and is a predicted model, not a curated record. The transcript is spliced from 4 exons. NCBI's taxonomy places the organism in Eukaryota, Metazoa, Chordata, Ceratodontiformes, Protopteridae.